Long non-coding RNA from Populus trichocarpa (black cottonwood), 2335 nucleotides. RefSeq lists it as uncharacterized. Lineage: Eukaryota; Viridiplantae; Streptophyta; Magnoliopsida; Malpighiales; Salicaceae. The transcript is spliced from 2 exons. The record is from RefSeq and is a predicted model, not a curated record.
UUUAAUCUUUCACUAUACUCAUCAAUCAUAUCAACUCAGUAUCAAAGCUUCGUGGCACAACGACAACCAUGGACACACAAACCACAUCAGCUAUAUCUUCUUCUUCAGCAAGCCCGAUCACCACUCUCGUGAAUCCGAUUGAGCAGCAGCAAACCCUUCCUCGGUCAGCAAUGUUUAUUCCUCUGUCAAAUUACGCGCACCACUCUAUCUCCUUGAAACUGACUAGUACAAGCCAUUUGUAUUGGAAAACACAAAUGAAGUCCUUCCUUCAAGGACGAGGGCUCUUCGGCAUUUCGGAUUUGUAGAAGGCUCUAAACUAUGUCCUCUAUCUCAUGUUAUUGUUGAAAAUACAUCACUGCCUCAGCCAAAUUCGACUUAUGUUCUAUGGGUUCGGCAAGAUCAAUUGCUGAGGAGUACCCUUAUUUCUUCGUUAUCUCCUCAGGUUCUUUAUUUGAUAGUCGAUUGUACUACAUCCCGUAGUAUCUGGCUGACCUUGGAGAAUGCCCUUGCUUCUCCGUCUACUCGGAUCAUGACAAUACAUAUUGCUCUUCAAGAGCUCCGGCAGCAUGAUGAAUCUGUUACAGCUUAUUUGCAGCGAGCUAAGCAUUGCCAUGAUGGGCUAGCAGCUGCUGGCCGGCCUCUAUCCACAGCUUUGUUACCACUUUAUCAACCAGAAAAAGAAUUGGAGUGUAACUUUAUCUUUGGCUCUGGAGUUGCAAAUGACGCAAUCACUUCCUCGAAAAAUCUCAGUCAACGGAAGCAGCAGCAUGCCGAUACUGCUACUUACGACCCUUCUUAAGUGGCAAUAAUCAAGGGCGGAACCAGAAAUUUUUCCUGCCUUGGGCUAUUAAAUAAAUAUAUAAUUUUUUUAUGAUAAAUUAUUAAUUUAUAUACAUAAAUUUUUAAAGUUAAUAGUAAAGUUUUAAUUUAAAUACACUACCCAAAAUAUUAAAAAAUGAAUCUGAAAGUAAAAUUAAACUCACUAUUGAAGUUACAUCCUUCGAUGUUUUGUGGAAUAUAAUUCAUCUAUAAUUGAAUCUGAAUCGAUAUUGUAACAACCCCUCAACCGGGAUAAAAUAACAAUCUCAUGUCAACUGAAAAACAAUUUAUUAAAUUUUUUCCCUUCACGUGUUUUAUAAGUUGGACUUUAUAAGUUUACAAGGCUGUUCUCUUACUUUUUUUUUCUUGGAUUUUUUUUAAUGUUUUUCCCUUGCUUUUCUCUCAGCCUUUUCUUUUCUUUCUUUUCCUAUUCUGCUUUUGUCCGGUCGACAACAUAUAAAAGGAAGGAAGAAUUGAUUUGUUUUAUUUUUUAAUGGCAAAUAACCAUUCUACCCUUAAUGAGUCGUUUUGCUUUUAUUUGACGGUUUUUUUUAUUAGCACUACGUUCAUCCUAAAAUUUUAACUAGAUUUUAUUCAAUUUAUUUUAAGUUCCCUCGUAAAAUUUCAGCUCAAUCUGAUGGUCGGAUUGAAAAUUACACCCAAUAACAUAAAACUGGCAAAAUUAUGAUUUUUUAUCAAAUUUCUGAAUUUUUUUAAAAAUUUUGAAAUUUUAAACUAAGCUAAAGUAUCAUAUUAAAAGGCUCAAUGUAAAUUUUCAGAACAUUUUGAUAAUUCAAUCAAGAAUUACAAACCUUUUUUAUAUAAAAUUAAUUAAAAAAUAUUGAUAAAAUCUUGAUCUUUACUAGAGCCCACCCAAGCCUUUACAUCGCCAAGCCCUUGGGAAUAACAAAAGCAGGAACCAUGUAUGAAGGGAUAGGAACCAUGGCAAUUUUCGCUCCUCUUAUCAUCAACCAGGGACAGCCUGGAAUACCAACAAUUCGUGCUCUAAUAAUUAGUGGUCCCCUAAUGGUCAGAACCAGAGAAGCAUCCGAUGUCAUCUGUGCAAUAGGUUCAAUCACACAGCUCAAUUUUUCGCUCAACGCUUCAAUCAAUCUGAAUACCCGGCUGCCUAUAUAUAUGGUCACUCAUGUUCCCUCUACAGCCACUUUGCAAUGGCUUCUUAGGAUCAUCUAGCUGAUGUUUUAACGUUUUAACUAAACCUCCAGCUGCUUCUCAGUUCUAACUUGUUCGAUCCAAGCUUCAGGUUGAAUCCCUCCACCGUCAGCUUGAAGGGGGCAUAUUAUAGCACUUGAUAUAGUCGGUUAUAUAAUAUGUAUUUAUAGGUGGUCAUAUUUCCUGUUUUACAGCUGGUAUGCAUUAACUUUCCUAUUGUGUAUUCAAGUAAGUGCGCAUCAAAAACUGAAGCCUAGAAGAUCAUUGGCUUACAGUUUGCUCUCCUUGUUUCUUUUUGUGUCUCAACUGACAUAAAUAUAACAUUAUUCGUUCUGCGGGUGAA